This 1029-nucleotide unclassified non-coding RNA is filed under the name Bombus terrestris (buff-tailed bumblebee). Its description in RNAcentral is "misc RNA ENSBTSG00005035300.1". The record is from RNAcentral. Lineage: Eukaryota; Metazoa; Arthropoda; Insecta; Hymenoptera; Apidae.
CAUAACAACCUGUAUCGAAACCAGAUGAUAAGCAAUAAAGUGCAAAGUUUAAAUCGCGUACGAAUUCAUUCGGCGCGCCAAUAAUCGGCGGGCGUUUGCGCGCUGCAUUGCUCGGCGACGCUCGUGAGGGUUCGUACGUGGUCGGUGGCGUCGCGACGCCGAGUGGGGAUAUGCCGGUCGAAGUAGAGAGAUAGCGUAGUUGUGGCCCGAUGGAAGAGCCGCGCGGAGGGACGAGAGGGUGCGGAGUCCGCGUGUCGUUGACAGCAGCGGCGGCUAGGAGGCCUCGGUGAGGCCAGUGAAGCGUCGCUCGACAGUCGAAGCCGGUCUCUCGGCGUGCGAGUAUCGAGAGUAUCGCGAGGUUCCGCCGUACGUUCGUUCUUGCCUCGCGACGCGAACUUGUCACCUGUCAAGUCACGCUCGCCGCACAAAGUAACAUAACAUAUCGGAAUUUCAAGUCAGUCGAGAGUCUUAACAUCGCGUUUCUUCCCUCGAAUUUUGCCGCGUGUGUCGCGCUGACGAACCAUCGAGUUCUCGAGAUCCCCCCGUUGUGCGUUGAUUCGUGUCGUGCCCGUUCGGCAACUGCGUUUCCGCUCGCGUGUGUCCAGUGUGCAGAAGUGUGUGGAUGCGACGGCGGAACCAUAGCCGCCGAGAUUGCCGCGAGGACGUUCCCCCCUGGCCGGUUAACUCCUAGGUAUGCAGAUUCAGGCUGUUGCCAGUGGAAGACGCAAAGGCUGGCAUUUAACUUCCUAAUUUCCAAUUCGAGCGGUCAGGAAGCCUCGUCGGAAAGAAAAUUACGCUAGAGGGAAGUUCUGCUUCGGUUGUGAAAGGAGUUACCGAGGUGUGAGUGUCUACGCGAGUAUAAGAGUUUUCCGGCUCGAUUCCCAAAACUUUCACGGUUAUUCGCUCGAGCCCGACUUCGUGAGAGACUGUCUACUGGUAAAGAAAACGAGAGCUGAUGAAUAGCGAACGGAAGUCGAUCAUCUAACCAGAUCGGAAGCUGUGAACCGAGGACGUUCUCACGGCUAGAAG